This 449-nucleotide ribosomal RNA is filed under the name uncultured bacterium. RNAcentral describes it as "bacterial SSU rRNA". It matches the Rfam family "Bacterial small subunit ribosomal RNA", at positions 354 to 796 of the family's 1533-position model. The record is from RNAcentral.
GUGGGGAAUCUUGCGCAAUGGGCGAAAGCCUGACGCAGCGACGCCGCGUGCGGGAAGAAGGCCUUCGGGUUGUAAACCGCUUUCAGGAGGGACGAAGCCACUCGGGUGAAUAGCCCAGAGGGUGACGGUACCUCCAGAAGAAGCCCCGGCUAACUACGUGCCAGCAGCCGCGGUAAUACGUAGGGGGCAAGCGUUGUCCGGAUUCAUUGGGCGUAAAGCGCGUGUAGGCGGCUGAGUAGGUCUGAUGUGAAAACUCGAGGCUCAACCUCGAGACGUCGUCAGAAACCACUCGGCUAGAGUCCGGAAGAGGAGAGUGGAAUUCCUGGUGUAGCGGUGAAAUGCGCAGAUAUCAGGAAGAACACCAAUGGCGAAGGCAGCUCUCUGGGACGGUACUGACGCUGAGACGCGAAAGCGUGGGGAGCGAACAGGAUUAGAUACCCGUGUAGUCC